Molecule: ribosomal RNA, 255 nt
Filed under: uncultured bacterium
Lineage: Bacteria
Description: partial 16S ribosomal RNA
Rfam family: Bacterial small subunit ribosomal RNA
Source: RNAcentral
CGGAAGGUCCGGGCGUUAUCCGGAUUUAUUGGGUUUAAAGGGAGCGUAGGCCGCUUUGUAAGCGUGUUGUGAAAUUUUGCCGGCUCAACCGGUAACUUGCAGCGCGAACUGCAGAGCUUGAGUGUGCGCAACGUUGGCGGAAUUCGUCGUGUAGCGGUGAAAUGCUUAGAUAUGACGAAGAACUCCGAUUGCGAAGGCAGCUGACGGGAGCACUACUGACGCUGAAGCUCGAAAGUGCGGGUAUCGAACAGGAUU